RNAcentral lists this ribosomal RNA (1194 nucleotides) under Triticum aestivum (bread wheat). Its description in RNAcentral is "partial small subunit ribosomal RNA". Lineage: Eukaryota; Viridiplantae; Streptophyta; Magnoliopsida; Poales; Poaceae. The record is from RNAcentral.
AUGGCGCCACAACCACUAGUAGAACAAGCACACGGCUGGCGCGCCCAGAACGAAACUUCCAUCCAACCACUGAAACGAGUUCAGGAUGGGUUAACGGGUGAUGUGUUGUUUGCUGCUGCUGGCAAGAUUGAGCAAGUGAGUGAUGCUCUACAUGCUGAAGCUACUGCCCUCCUGAACGCCAUCAACCUUGCUGAAGAUCAUAGUAUGGGUCGUGUCAUUUUUGAGACUAACUGUCUAGGACUUGCCCAAGCCAUCAACACUACGAUGCUAGACCGAUCUGCCCUAGGGGCUCUUUUCCGCGAGACAUGGAAAAAUAAAUUCCCCUGUGGGCUGAGGCCGACAGGAAAACAAUUUAGCUUUUCGCGCCCACUUCUCCACCUAAAUGGGCCUUCCCGCGCUAAGGAAUUCAGCCACGCGCGCUCCGCCAAUUUUCCUGUGAGUUAUGGGCUCACAGGAAUAGGCCCAGUACAAAAACGAAAUAGGAAGGAAACUCUGGAUCCCCAAAUCAGAACCCUCAUCUCCACUCCGCCGCCGCCGCACUCCAGCUACCCCGUCUUCGACCCAACCCUCAACACUGCCCCAGCAGCAUCGGUCGCGGCCUUCGUCGUACCAGUCCGCCGCUCCACCUGCUCGCCUACUGUCCCUUCGUCCUCACCGGUGGAGCGACCCAGCCGUGUCCUCGUCGGCGCCUGUGCGCGUCCGCCUCACAGCACGCCCGAGCGCCCCGUCCUUGAGUCGUCACCACCUGGGAAAGCAGCGACGCACAUUGACCAGCUCAUCUCCACUAUGAUGCAGGGGAAGAAACUGAAUCUGGGGAAGACAUUGUUAAUAUCAUCAGUCUUAAUGUUACAUUGCAAGUUCAAGGAAUAUCAUUGGCACAGCAGAGAGGUUGCAAACAAGAAGUUGAGUUUAUCACCUGGUGGCAUUAAAAUACAGAAAAUAGCCUUUGCAAAGGAUAAGAGGGCGACAACAGAAUUAAGAUUGCUUUGUGUGUUUGUUGAGUUGGCCUUGAGCUGCUGGGUGGAGGGAUUUACAUUCCCUGACGGCCACCCGGCAGGAAUAGGUUUCCUGUCGGUCUCCCGACAGGCAUUUUCUCCUAUCCCUGUCAAGCUAUGGCUGACGGGUAUUCCUGUCAGUUGGCCGACAGGAAAUACUAUUCCUGAUGGUUUUCCUUAUUUUCCUAUCGGUUUCUGA